Molecule: ribosomal RNA, 490 nt
Filed under: uncultured bacterium
Lineage: Bacteria
Description: partial 16S ribosomal RNA
Rfam family: Bacterial small subunit ribosomal RNA
Source: RNAcentral
AUUGAACGCUGGCGGCAGGCCUAACACAUGCAAGUCGAACGGUAACAGGAAGCAGCUUGCUGCUUCGCUGACGAGUGGCGGACGGGUGAGUAAUGUCUGGGAAGCUGCCUGAUGGAGGGGGAUAACUACUGGAAACGGUAGCUAAUACCGCAUAAUGUCGCAAGACCAAAGAGGGGGACCUUCGGGCCUCUUGCCAUCGGAUGUGCCCAGAUGGGAUUAGCUUGUUGGUGGGGUAACGGCUCACCAAGGCGACGAUCCCUAGCUGGUCUGAGAGGAUGACCAGCCACACUGGAACUGAGACACGGUCCAGACUCCUACGGAAGGCAGCAGUGGGGAAUAUUGCACAAUGGGCGCAAGCCUGAUGCAGCCAUGCCGCGUGUAUGAAGAAGGCCUUCGGGUUGUAAAGUACUUUCAGCGGGGAGGAAGGGAGUAAAGUUAAUACCUUUGCUCAUUGACGUUACCCGCAGAAGAAGCACCGGCUAACUCCGUG